This is a non-coding RNA of Podarcis lilfordi (Lilford's wall lizard), 83 nucleotides long. NCBI's taxonomy places the organism in Eukaryota, Metazoa, Chordata, Lepidosauria, Squamata, Lacertidae. The record is from the annotation of a GenBank genome assembly.
GGUUUCAUAGCUCAGUUGGUAGAGUAUGAGGCUCUUCAUCUCAGGGUUGCAGGUUUGAGCCACACGGUGGGUGAAAGAUUCCU